CCGCUCCAGCAGCGCAUAUACUAAAACUGGAACGAAACAGAGAAGAUUAGCACGGCCCCUGCGCAAAUGGAUGACACGCAAAUCCGUGAAGCGUCCGUAUUUUUU
Molecule: small nuclear RNA, 105 nt
Organism: Saimiri boliviensis boliviensis (Bolivian squirrel monkey)
Lineage: Eukaryota; Metazoa; Chordata; Mammalia; Primates; Cebidae
Source: Ensembl